CUCAAAGAUUAAGCCAUGCAAUUGCAAGUAUGAACAACUCGUAUUUGUUAAACUGAGAACAGCUUAUUAAAAAAGUUAUAAUUUAUUUGAACGUGGAACCUUAAAACAGGUUCAUUAAAAUCUAUUUAAGUGGAAUAAUUGUGGGAAAGCUAGAAAUAAUACAUGCAAAAAGGGGUAACUAAAGUAAUUUGGGAACCUUGCAUUAUCUGGCAUUUAUCAUUAAAAAAGGAAGUACAACUUCUUUAUAUGAUGAAACACAGAUCACUAAAUAGCAAAGUGUGAUUUCAAAACACUGCUUCAUUCAAAUUUCUUAUCUAUCAACUUUCGAUGAUUGUAUAGAGGACAAUCAUGGUUUUAACGGGUAACAGAGAAUAAGGGUUUUAUUCUGGAGAGGGAGCCUAGAGAAAUUGCUACCACUUCCAAGGAAGGCAGCAGGCGCGAAAAUUACCCAAUAAAAAUACUUUGAGGUAGUAACAAAAAAUAACGACAACGUAUACAUUUGAAUAACAUAAAAAAUUAUUUAAAUGUUGUUGAUUGUAAUGAGUACAAUUUAAAAAAAUUAAUUAGAAUCAAUUAGAGGGCAAGUCUGGUGCCAGCAGCCGCGGUAAUUCCAGCUCUAAUAGCGUAUAUUUAAGUUGUUGUAUUUAAAAAGCUCGUAGUUGAAACUUGAAAAACAAUUUAAAAAAUGAAAUAAACCUAUAAAUAGAAAAAUCUAUUUAUAAUUAUUUCAUGUUUUUCAUAUCAUGAACAAUAGUUUAAUUCAUAAUUUUAAUUGAAAGAUUAAAUCAUUGUGGGUGUUAUAAAGAUUAUUGUUUCAUUUUACCAUAAGUAAAAUAGAGUGUUUAAAGCAAGACGAUUGUCUAUUGAAUAAUAGAGUAUGGGAUAAUAAAAGAUGAAAGAGAGGAGAUGUACUUCUCUGAAGGUAAAAGUUAAAUUUUAUUUCCAGGUCUUCCCACUUUAAUGAUUAAUAGGGACUAUUGGGGCAAUUAAUAUUUCUACACGAGCGGUGAAAUGUUUAGACUGUAGAAAGAUUAACUAAUGCGAAAGCAUUUUGCAAAGGUGUUUUCAUUAAUCAAGAACGAAAGUUAAGGGAUUGAAGAUGAUCAGAUACCGUCGUAAUCUUAACCAUAAACAAUGUAGACAAAAGAUGGGAUUGAUUAUAUAAAUAUAUAGUCUUUCUUAAUAAAAAAGGUACUUAAAUGAAAGGAAAAGGAAAGGUUUACUUUUCUAUUUUCUUUCUGUAACUGUCUCUUCCCGAAUUUCGUAAGAAAUUAAGAGUGAUCGGACUUUGGGGGGAGUAUGGUCGCAAGGCUGAAACUUAAAGGAAUUGACGGAAGAGCMCCACAAGGUUGUGGAACUUGCGGUUUAAUUUGACUCAACACGGGAAAACUCACCAGGUCAGGACAUAAUAAGGAUUGACAGAUUAAUAGAUCUUUCAAAAAAAAAAAUUAUUAUUGUAGCAAUAUAAUAGUAAUAUAAAUUGAUUUUAUGAUAAGUGGUGCAUGGCCGAUCUUAGUUCGUGGAAUGAUUUGUCUGCUUAAUUGCGUUAACGAACGAGACCUUUAGAGAUAAAUAGUGAUAGAUGGAGGGUGUUAAAGCAAGUGGAAUGUCUUUAGGAGAAGGGCAUGUUCCCCUUUUAAAUGUCAUCGUUUCAUUUGUAUUCUUCAUUUUUAUAAAUUAAAAAAAUAUAUAGGGUAAGUGUCAAAAGUUUAUCAAAUAUAAACUUCUUAUUUCGACUAUUGGUGAUAAACUAAUGUAAGUUAAAGGUAAUAUCAGGUCUGUGAUGCCCUUAGAUGUUCUGGGCCACACGCGUGUUACAAUGGUAAAGAUUAAAGGGUAAACAAUAAUAAUGAAGUGGCUCUUAAUAAAGUUAUUUCUAUUUUUCCGCUUAAUAGAAAUAUUUGGCAAAUCCUUUAUCGAAUCUUUUUUACCAUAUCUGGGAUAGAUGCUUGUAAUUUUUCAUCUUCAACUUGGAAUACCUAGUAAACAUAAUUCAACAAAUUAUGUUGAUUACGUCCCUGCUCUUUGUACACACCGCCCGUCGCUCCUACCGAUUGAAUUAUCCGAUGAGUUGUAAGGAAAGACUAUUUUGUAAAAGAAAUAGACUUAAAUUACAACAAAUCUUAUAAUUUAGAGGAAGGAGAAGUCGUAACAAGGUAAUCGUAGGUGAACCUGCAGAAGGAUCA
This 2186-nucleotide ribosomal RNA is filed under the name Cochliopodium actinophorum. RNAcentral describes it as "partial 18S ribosomal RNA". It matches the Rfam family "Eukaryotic small subunit ribosomal RNA". Lineage: Eukaryota; Discosea; Himatismenida; Cochliopodiidae. The record is from RNAcentral.